GGUGUUCUCUUGUGAUCGUGACUGGCACAAGCUGCGUCCUUCUGCAGAAGUAAAUUUGCCUUGCUGAGAAAAUUUCUGUUUGAGUGCUAUUUCUUUUGCAGCACCAAAACUUAUUUCUAACAAAUUUGGGGGCCUGUGUGGGAUUCCCAUUCUCCUCUGGGGAAGGGUCCGGUCCUCUCCCAUGAGGAGGCACAUCCUGCUGCCUCAUUGCGGUAGCCUCAGGGGUAAGGAAUCGAGACUCACUCAGUGUGAUGAAUAAACCUGGACUCUCAGCAACACAGGAAGAAACAGACCAACAACUUUGAAAAAAGAAAAAAAAAAGGUAAUCACAUACUGUGGUGUCCAGGUAACUCUGUGCACAGAUCAAGGUAAGAAACCUCACAGUGGCGACAAAGUAUUUCCUUGAUGAUCGGAACAUCUCGGAGGUUGGAAGUUGAAAGUGUGUGAAUAAGCACUACUGGUGUGCGGAGUGAGCGAGUCCAAUCUGUGGUUCUGUGGUCACCUCAUAUGACUUACAGCAGCCUUUUGGGGGUCCUGUCAGGGGUUUAUACUGACCCACCAAUGUUAAAAGGGACAUGAUGUUCCCUUCGGGGAAGCAGCCAGAGAGGAGGAAACGAAAGGAAAAGAGUGCAAGAAGCCUCCACUAGGGGGUAUUGAGGCUCUGGAGAAAAGGAAAGCAAGAAAUCCCAAUAUGGGUGGGGCGGGGGUGGGGGUUGAGCCUCUAGAAGAAAGGAAAGGCGAGAAAUCUCCAGUAGAGGGGAUUGAGCCUCACACAAACCUCCAGUCAUAGGGAAGGCAAAAAAUUUCCAGUAGGGGAAGUUGAGCCUCACCCUAAAACCAUCAAGAUGGGAAAUACCCCAAGUAAGACAGAGAGUAAAAAGGAUAAAGCUAACAGCAAUGAUAUUCCCCUUAAUAGUCCUCUAGGUCUCAUGUUAAAGUAUUGGAAAGAUAAUGAAAGGACUAAGCAUAAGAAAAAGCAACAAAUGUUAAAAUAUUGUUGUUUUAUUUGGACCUAGGAACUAAUCCUCAAACCCUCAGUUUUCUGGCCAAAAUUUGGGUCAAAUGAGGAUUGCAUUUGUCAGCUUCUAAUAGAACAUGUUAAUAACAAGAGUCUAGUUUCCCAAGAAGAGAUAGAUUAUGCUUUGUGUUGGCGACAAGGACCUGUUCUUCUCUACCCCCUAAAAGCUCUAAAAGAUAAGCAUAAGCCACAGAAUGUUUCCCCUAAGGAAACUGAAACUCUGAACUCCAAGCUCUCUAUGCCUUGGGACCUGCUAGGUCACCUUCCCCCACCAAACACCCCUAUCUUUCCUCCCCUCAAGAGCUGCUGUCCCAGACCCUUCUCCUACCGCUAUUGUUCCCCCUCCUUAUAACCCUGCCUCUUGGAAAUUGUCCCUAGAGCCCACUCACUACCAGCCUAAGUACCCUUCCCUAAAGGGACUUCAAAGUGAAACAGCAAUGUAAAGAAGAUAUUCAAAAUUGCCCCUCCCCUUUUACCUCAGGGGAAUCAGCUCCAGCUCUCUUCCCCAUUGAGGGAGGUGCCCCUAGGAGGAGGAGACAUUGGCUUUGUAAAUGUUCCUUUAACCAUCUCAGAAGUAUGAAACCUAAAAAGAGAGCUUAAGUUACUAUUAGAUGACCCUUAUCGGGUAGCAAACCAAAUUGACCAAUUUCUAGGACCACAGUUAUGUACCUGGGCUGAGCUAAUGUUCAUCCUAAGCAUCCUCUUCUCAGGGGAAGAAAGAAGCACGAUCCAUAGGGCUGCUAUGGUAGUCUGGGAAUGUGAACACCCUCCCGGCCAAAAUGUUCCUGCAGCAGAUCGAAAAUUCCCCACCCGAGACCCCUGGUGAGACAAUAAUAACGC
RNAcentral lists this long non-coding RNA (1858 nucleotides) under Homo sapiens (human). Its description in RNAcentral is "HSALNT0331952". The record is from RNAcentral. Lineage: Eukaryota; Metazoa; Chordata; Mammalia; Primates; Hominidae.